Long non-coding RNA from Cynara cardunculus var. scolymus (artichoke), 605 nucleotides. RefSeq lists it as uncharacterized. The record is from RefSeq and is a predicted model, not a curated record. Lineage: Eukaryota; Viridiplantae; Streptophyta; Magnoliopsida; Asterales; Asteraceae. The transcript is spliced from 2 exons.
AUGGAAGCUCUGGCUCUUAGCUGUCGUCGUCUUCUCCUUCAUCCCGAUCUCUUCAGUCCCAAACGUCGCAGGAACCCUAGGGACCGUCCCUAACUACAGUUUCCAAAUAAUUUACCACUGCAUCCCUUCCGUUUUCUGGAUUAAAACCUCCUCUAUUUCUCCCGACAAAAACGUUCGAUUAAUUUCCGAUGCGGUUUGCAAUUUCGUAACUCUGAUUGGUACGGAGUUUUAGUUAUUAAGGUUUUCAGAAUAUGUGGAACCCAUAAUGAAGACAGGAAGAACGGAGGUUCCAACGUAUACAAAGUAGAAAUAGUCCACAAGUGCGACUCUACCAUGCCCUUUUUAACAGAGGCUGAACGGGUACAGAUUGUCGAGAGCUGUUGAGAGAGGGCUAAGAUUGGGCUAAAUGGAUCUGGGGGAUAGAUGAGUACAGGUUUUCCCAUAGCGUUCCUUCCCUAGAAAUUGUAGACUGCCUCUGCACCAUGUGAGAUUAUGGCUGUUUGGAUGGAUUUUCAUAAGUCUCGUAUAGAUAAAGCUAUUUGUGUGGUCGUGUAAAUUGCGAAAGUUUUUUUGGGAGGAUUUUUCAUAUAUGGAAGGAGGUGUGG